AAUGAACGCUGGCGGCAUGCCUUACACAUGCAAGUCGAACGGCAGCAUGACCUAGCUUGCUAGGUUGAUGGCGAGUGGCGAACGGGUGAGUAAUGCAUCGGAACGUGCCUUUUAGUGGGGGAUAACGUAGCGAAAGUUACGCUAAUACCGCAUAUUCUCUGAGGAGGAAAGCAGGGGACCUUCGGGCCUUGCGCUAGAAGAGCGGCCGAUGUCGGAUUAGCUAGUUGGUGCGGUAAAGGCUCACCAAGGCAACGAUCCGUAGCGGGUCUGAGAGGAUGAUCCGCCACACUGGGACUGAGACACGGCCCAGACUCCUACGGGAGGCAGCAGUGGGGAAUUUUGGACAAUGGGCGCAAGCCUGAUCCAGCCAUGCCGCGUGAGUGAAGAAGGCCUUCGGGUUGUAAAGCUCUUUCGGCUGGGAAGAAAUCGCACCCUCUAAUACAGGGUGUGGAUGACGGUACCAGCAUAAGAAGCACCGGCUAACUACGUG
RNAcentral lists this ribosomal RNA (490 nucleotides) under uncultured bacterium. RNAcentral describes it as "partial 16S ribosomal RNA". It matches the Rfam family "Bacterial small subunit ribosomal RNA", at positions 29 to 507 of the family's 1533-position model. The record is from RNAcentral.